GAUGGGAAGAAGACGCGGGAGGAUGGAACGAGAGGGCUAGCCGCGUAGUGUCGCGCUGAGGAAGGAUAAAGAGGGCUGGUGAGUGGGGAUGCCGGAGAAUCAGCGCAAGCUACACCCCACCGUGGCCGCCGUGGCAGUCAGUCGUCCGCGCACCCCCGUCCGGAGAGGGUUAUCGUGUUCGGUGGUGAGUUCUCGUUUGCCAGUGACUGAUCAUCAGCCGCACUCGGUCAUCGGUCGAUCAGCUGAUCCUCUGCUAAGUGUCCUGCUGGCGUCUCCUCCGACAGCUGCCAUCAGCCUCCAGCCAAUCGUCAUCGAAUCCUGGCCUUGAACUGAGAAGUGGCUGAGCACCCGCGGGACAACACGGCAACUGCGGAAACGGGAGAGGGCGAGGAGAAGUCCAGAAGAGAGGAGGAAGUCUGAUCGAAUAACCGGGCAAACUUAAAAACGAAUUCUGGGUCAAGGUCCAUAGAACGUGCCAGGUCGGAACGAUGUGAGAGGGCUAUAUGGGUGAACACCAAACAGGCGAGCGACACUCGACGAAAUCACGAACACGUGGCGAGACGUGAAGCGGGCGUUGAGCCUGCUGUGCGUAAAAAAAUUCUCCGGAAGCGGAACGAUGCUGGAAGCGCCGCCCGGAAGUCGCGAGGACCUGGUGGAAGCAGCGAGAACACCAUGCACGCCCACAGAUCUGGACACGAUGCUGUACGGCUACACGAACAACAUAUACGUGCUGGACCACACGCCCGAAUCCUUACCGG
This is a non-coding RNA of Nomia melanderi (Alkali bee), 758 nucleotides long. NCBI's taxonomy places the organism in Eukaryota, Metazoa, Arthropoda, Insecta, Hymenoptera, Halictidae. The record is from RefSeq and is a predicted model, not a curated record.